UACUUGUGGAGCUGGUAAUACUUGCGUCUGCAGCGCAAGGUGGUCGGGAUCGAAAUGCAGAGUGGGUCUGAGGUAGGCUUCAGAGAGGACCGUGUAGGAUGCCUAGAAGGUUGAUGUCAGCUGUCAGGCUCGUAGAGUGUAUGGGAAUAGUUAGUAGAGAGUUUUAGUUGAGUUUGAGAGGGCAGCAGGCAGGUCUAGGAACCAGCCUUGGUGCCAUAGAUAGAGCGAGUGUUCAGAGGUUUCAGGCUAGUGUCAGGUUGGCCAUCAAUCAGGGAGGUAGAGUUUGGUUCAGAGGUGGUGCUUGGUACCCAUAACCAUUUCUCUCUUUCCUUUCGGGAUGGUACCUGCAGAGAG
This 354-nucleotide long non-coding RNA is filed under the name Manihot esculenta (cassava). RNAcentral describes it as "long non-coding RNA (MESC_LNC012828)". The record is from RNAcentral. Lineage: Eukaryota; Viridiplantae; Streptophyta; Magnoliopsida; Malpighiales; Euphorbiaceae.